Molecule: long non-coding RNA, 449 nt
Organism: Haplochromis burtoni (Burton's mouthbrooder)
Lineage: Eukaryota; Metazoa; Chordata; Actinopteri; Cichliformes; Cichlidae
Exons: 3
Source: RefSeq, a predicted model, not a curated record
AAGAGGAAAUGAUAAUGUUGUUAUUAACUGAGUGAUGAUUUUACUUCAGUGCAGCAGAAGUUUCUCAUACCAGAAAAUGCAGCACUGAAAGUCACAGAUGAGCAGGGUAUAGAGGUGGAUGAGGAUGUCUUUCCUGAACUUGCAGCAGUCAAAGAGGUGUGUUUUGUCAUCUAUACAGCUGAAGACAUCCUGGAAACACAAUCAUCCAAGAAGCUGCGUGACUGCUCAGACCUAACACACUAUGUGACACUCACACCUUGUGAUUUGACUGUCCUGAAGCAACAUGUGGAAGAGCCCUCCUCUCCAAGUCUAACAGAUACAUUGUCUGUCUCAACCACCAGCAGUCAGAGCAGUGACACAAGUGAUGCCGGACUUCAAAUGGUUCAGCCUCUAUUGGACAGCAUACAUGAAAGAAAUGUAGAUACAGUACUUAAUUGACUUAUACUUGA